RNAcentral lists this non-coding RNA (30 nucleotides) under Mus musculus (house mouse). The record is from RNAcentral. Lineage: Eukaryota; Metazoa; Chordata; Mammalia; Rodentia; Muridae.
UGCUGCUUUGAGUAUUGAGAUGGAUAAAAC